Cucumis sativus (cucumber) is the source of this 556-nucleotide long non-coding RNA. RefSeq lists it as uncharacterized. The record is from RefSeq and is a predicted model, not a curated record. The transcript has 2 exons. NCBI's taxonomy places the organism in Eukaryota, Viridiplantae, Streptophyta, Magnoliopsida, Cucurbitales, Cucurbitaceae.
CAUCAAUUGCCGGAUUUUAGUGAGUUUGGGGUUUUGUUGUAGUUUUUCUUAAUUAUCCCUUGGAGUUAAAACAAUAUUAAUUUUUAGAUCUUUUGAAGAGGUCAAAGAGGAUAGAAGACGGAAAGGGAAAGCACGACGUAUGUGUGAUAUAAUAUGUAGAAUACAAGAGCAAGGUUCGAAAUCAAUGGAGAUGCUCAAAGAAGGCGGGUCAACUAGUAAACCAUCUAUCCUUGAUGGAAAAAACUACUCAUAUUGGAAAACUCGAAUGACGUCAUUUAUUAAAUAUAUCGAUGGGAAGGCUUAAAGAGUUGUUAUUUCUGGCUGGAAGCUACUGAUGAUUACUGUUGAUGAUAAAUAUGUUCAAAAGUCUGAAGAGGAAUGGACGAAUGCAGAAGAACAAGCUUCUUUAGAAAAUUUACGAGCUCUUAUUGCCAUAUAUGAUGGAGUAGAUCUGAAUGUGUUCAAACUGAUAAAAGAUGCUUGGAAAGUUCUUGAAGUAGCAUUUGAAGGCACAUCUAAAGUAAAAAUCUCUCAAUUGCAACUUUUGGCCUAUAAA